Long non-coding RNA from Papaver somniferum (opium poppy), 3825 nucleotides. RefSeq lists it as uncharacterized. The record is from RefSeq and is a predicted model, not a curated record. NCBI's taxonomy places the organism in Eukaryota, Viridiplantae, Streptophyta, Magnoliopsida, Ranunculales, Papaveraceae. The transcript has 3 exons.
UCCUCUGUGAGAGAAAAUGAAUAAGCCAAAAAAUGGAAUUUCGAAACAAACACGAUUGCUAAUUUUUUUAGAGGUUAAUCGUGUGAAGGUUUUUUUGUGAAGGCAGAGAUUUGGUAGUCAGUUGGUCAAGAACAAGAUGGUGCUGCCGUGAGUAAGGUGAUGCAAAAUGCUUCAAAAAACCAAGGUGAUGAACCAGCUGCAGAUGAUGUUAUUGGAAGACACUAGGAGGUUUUUGAAGGGUUUGUGACGAAUUAGAAGAUGGGUUCUUAUUGAAUUCGUAUUUGGUUCUACCGUUCUAGUUGCAGGCAUCACAGAGAAGUUAGGGUUUUGAAUUGUGGUUGAAUUAGAAAACGAUGGAGUUGGUUUGCUGAUGCUGAGAAGAAAUUGACCUGCUACUGGUAAUCGUUGGUGAUGAUGAUUUUAAUCUGUGAAAUGAAAACGAAAGUGAUGAGGGUAUUGACAGAUUUCUAAAUAAACGAAAGUGAUCAGAAGUUUUUCUAUGAGCUUGUUCUUGAACUUGGGUGCCAUUGAAAUUCGUUGUUGGAGAAUUGGAUUGUGUUUGUGUUGGCUCAGGAGAGUGAGAACUGCAAUGCUUGCAAGUCAUUUGACAGAAUGUCGCAGUAGACUGAAUCUGGGCAGUGUUGAAGGUUGUUGUUGCUGCAAAGAAGAAUUAGAAGUUGGAAAGAACAUAGUAAUAGCAUAAAUAUGAAAUGUGUAUAGAGAGUGUGUGAGUGGUGUCAAGUCAUGAGCGUGUACACACGUGUGUGUGGGCUGUGUAUGAGUCGAGAGAUGAGACCUGAGAGUUUUGUAUUGAGAGAGAUAUAUAUGUAAUAACUUAUCUUUCUUUAUCAAUCAAUUGAUUAAAUCGUUGCAAUGUAGACAUCAGGAUUCCUGUGUUACUAUGGUAUCAUCGAGGGGAAAGCUUAACCGCGUCGAUCCUUGGACCUAACCUAAAAUUUCAUCACCAGAACCACCAUUAAAUCGAUCUACUUCUGCUGCUGCUUCUGUUCUUCGUCAACUUCUGCUGCUGCUUCAUCCAAAAUCAAAUUAUCAGAUCUAAUUAGGUUCGUAAUUCACUAAUUAUCAAAGCUCUAUUGUGUUUUGUGAUUAUUACAGUUGUUCAUGAAGUUUUGAUUUAAGAUUCAUGGAGUAUUUAGUAUGGAGUAUGUUCUUGGAGGUUUUUGGUCGAAAUUAGGGUUUUGUUUUGAUACCUGCUGCGUCAACAAACAGGAUUAAGCAUGUAUUUUGGAUCUAAAAUUCAGUUUUAGGGUUUGGGCUCUUGGUUAUUUCAAUUUCCUGUUUGGUGUGUGGAUUGAAAUCUCUUACCUCAUCAACUAUAAUUUGAGUCUCUGCUGGUAAUCUCCAAUUUCAUUUAUAGAUUACUUUAGAUUUGAUCUCAUGUGUUCAAUUUCUACAUCACUGGCUCAACAACACACAAUUCUGUCUUCAAAAGCUUUUUCAUCAUAACUAGUUUGUGGCAACUAGUUCUUUCAUCAAGUCCUACUUGUGCUGAUACCUGGCGCUUUUAAAUCUGAGCAUGCCUAUCUCUGCUACACAUUGUCUAGAUUAGAGAGAAGCUUAAAGUUGUUCCAUUUGAAAGUGAGCAAAAUCUCCUCUUAAAUCACAGAUGUGUAUUGAUGUGUGUACGGAAUGAAGGUUUGCUGCACUAUAUGUGCUUAAUUAGCUUCUUAAUCAGUUCAUCCCAUUGGUACUGUCUUUGGUACAGUCCUCUUUUUAUGAGUGAGUUGGCUUGCGAGUUUAAUGAUGCAACUGAAGAUGAUGUUAUGGGAUUGGAAUUGGUGAGCUAUAUUCAGUACAGGUUGAAGUUCUUUUUGUUGAGCUUGUAUACAUUCAGUAUGCAACCUAGUUUUCAGCUUGUAUAUGUGUUCAAUGUGCAACCUGUAGUUCUUCUACUUUUCACGCUCUUUGAAUAAAACAGUUGACGUUCAUCUUCAAUGGUGUUUUUUUACUUUUAUUUCUUAUGUGAGUGAAUAAUCCAAAGUGCUAUGGCCUUCUGGAGAAUAAUCGAAGGUUAAUAAUCAGUUGAAGACUUUGCUUCAUGGUGCACUACUGCAGUAUCUGAAUAAGAGGAAUAAUUGCUUCUUAGUGAAAGACAUUUGCCUACUUCUGUUGCUGUUAGAUUGUUGCUAUGUCCUUGUACUCCUGUUCUGUGACUUAUGUGCUGGUACUUCAUGGAAGGGACGUCUGCCUACAGUGUUUCAUACUGCUGUAACAUUUUCGAUACACCUUCUGAAGUGGAAAUUCUGUAAUGGUGCUGAAGGUAAUUCGAUAUUUUUCAACUUGGUCAUCCCUUCAACAUGUGGAUAAUGAUUUUACAUUCUUAUCUUAAGUAGCAGCUGGUUAGAACCAAUAUACUUCAGAUUCAGGCUUUGCUCCUUGUAUCUACUGCAAGUAUUUGAUUCCUUCCAUCUGAUGCGAGGAUCUUCUACGGAUUGAUUGUGCAUUGUUAGGUGGAAUGCAGUGGCUCGUUUUUACUAUUGUUGGUGUUUUCCUGUCCACCUUCAGAUUCUCUGCUUGCAGCACUUAAUGAUGUCAUACCUGCACCAGCUCUGCGACAAGCAUUCAACAUCUACUGCAUUGCCUAUCACUGCUGCAUCAAAUUUUUUUUUUUUAAGGCUUGUCUUCUACUAGAGCUGGCAUUACUACUUCAGUUUUGCUACUACUUCAUUCUUAUGCGCUGCGACUGCUCCUAUCUAGGUAUUAUUUUCUUAUGCUAUGCUCUACUUUCUACAACAACCGCAUAUGUCAGCCUGCCAAACACUACUUCUUCCAUCUGUAUCAACUGCUGAUUCCUAAAGGGUUGUGCAGCGGAAAUUGGUAAAAUGGUUUGAGCUGGUUGCUGGUGGUGACUGAAGUGGUGAGAUUGAGCUGAAAAGAGUAAUGGUGGAAUUCUUGUUAGGGUUUUGUCAACUGAUUGAUAUUGUUGAACUAUGGAAUGGUUGUGAUCGAAUGAAAUGAUUGCAGGUAGAGAUUCAAGGUGAUGUUAGAAUUCUGAACGAUUUAGGAGCCAUGGGUUUUUGUUAAAGUCGUGAUCAUGACCAACUUCAGGCGUGUACAAGUAAUGUGUAAAAACUCUUAGAGGUGCCACGUCACAUGUACAAAUGGCGGUGAUGCGUACAUACAGUCCACGUGUACAGAGACCUUACACAUAUGACCCAGAAGAACCGGUGGAGUGAAAAUGAAACUCGGUAUAAUGAGGGACUCACUGAGUUACCAAUGAAACUCAAUGAUCUGAGGAUUUAAAAGUUUUUUUAUACUCCCCAAACGGUGCCAAAAAGGUGUUUGGCAUUGUUGGUGGUGUUGUUCGCUGGAGACAGUGGAGCUGCAAUAACCAAAUAAGUCUGUCUACCUGAAUUCAAAGGUGCGUCAAUGAAUUUUUCUUAAUCUGGUCCAAAAAUACCGAAGAAAACAUAUUUUGGCCUGUUUAUCUAUGUAUAAUAAUGUUCGUGACUUCCACCCAGUUUUGGAUUUUAUGGGUUUGUAGUAUUAGGUACUGAAUCAUACACCUGCAUCCGAGAAACUAAUGCCCAGGAAGGUGAGACUCAAGGAAUUACACAACAAAUUGGGGCGGCAAACCAUAUUUCUGCUAUGUAAUGAGUCCUGGUAUAUUGGUUAUGGAGUCCAGGACAUGAAUCUUGUACCCAUAUUGCAUUAGUGAGGGUCUGGAUUAUGUUGUAGUACAGUUUUAGCUUGGUUUAGAUUGUUUGAGCAGGAAGUCUUAAUUACUUGAACAGUUUCAGAGAAAGAAUUAAUAUUCCUGUAUGCUAAGGUGAUUAAUUUUAGUAGGAAUUACUGUUUAAUCCA